GAUGAACGCUUGCGGCGUGCCUAAUACAUGCAAGUCGAGCGAACAGACGAGGAGCUUGCUCCUCUGACGUUAGCGGCGGACGGGUGAGUAACACGUGGAUAACCUACCUAUAAGACUGGGAUAACUUCGGGAAACCGGAGCUAAUACCGGAUAACAUGUUGAACCGCAUGGUUCAACAGUGAAAGACGGUCUUGCUGUCACUUAUAGAUGGAUCCGCGCCGCAUUAGCUAGUUGGUAAGGUAACGGCUUACCAAGGCAACGAUGCGUAGCCGACCUGAGAGGGUGAUCGGCCACACUGGAACUGAGACACGGUCCAGACUCCUACGGGAGGCAGCAGUAGGGAAUCUUCCGCAAUGGGCGAAAGCCUGACGGAGCAACGCCGCGUGAGUGAAGAAGGUCUUCGGAUCGUAAAACUCUGUUAUUAGGGAAGAACAAAUGUGUAAGUAACUAUGCACGUCUUGACGGUACCUAAUCAGAAAGCCACGGCUAACUACGU
This 496-nucleotide ribosomal RNA is filed under the name uncultured bacterium. RNAcentral's name for it is "partial 16S ribosomal RNA". It matches the Rfam family "Bacterial small subunit ribosomal RNA", at positions 28 to 506 of the family's 1533-position model. The record is from RNAcentral.